CAGCCGCCACGGGAAUACAGAGGGUGCAAGCGUUAAUCGGAUUUACUGGGCGUAAAGCGUGCGUAGGCGGCUUCUUAAGUCGGAUGUGAAAUCCCUGAGCUUAACUUAGGAAUUGCAUUCGAUACUGGGAAGCUAGAGUAUGGGAGAGGAUGGUAGAAUUCCAGGUGUAGCGGUGAAAUGCGUAGAGAUCUGGAGGAAUACCGAUGGCGAAGGCAGCCAUCUGGCCUAAUACUGACGCUGAGGUACGAAAGCAUGGGGAGCAAACAGGAUUAGAUACCCCGGUAGUCCCUGUCUCUUAUAC
RNAcentral lists this ribosomal RNA (301 nucleotides) under uncultured bacterium. RNAcentral describes it as "partial 16S ribosomal RNA". It matches the Rfam family "Bacterial small subunit ribosomal RNA", at positions 509 to 807 of the family's 1533-position model. The record is from RNAcentral.